This 28-nucleotide small RNA is filed under the name Bombyx mori (domestic silkworm). RNAcentral's name for it is "ovarian small RNA-11070". The record is from RNAcentral. Lineage: Eukaryota; Metazoa; Arthropoda; Insecta; Lepidoptera; Bombycidae.
ACACUUCCGAGAAAACACUUGGACCCCA